AAGUUGAUUGUAUGUCAGUUUUUCAUUUGGCGUGGCUAGCUCACUACUUUUUUAAUAUUGCUAGCUGCCUUGUGAAGGGCUUACGUGUAAUUGCAGUUCAACU
Molecule: microRNA precursor, 103 nt
Filed under: Drosophila simulans
Lineage: Eukaryota; Metazoa; Arthropoda; Insecta; Diptera; Drosophilidae
Description: microRNA dsi-mir-980 precursor
Gene: dsi-mir-980
Rfam family: mir-980 microRNA precursor family (bases 7-91)
Source: miRBase by way of RNAcentral